RNAcentral lists this ribosomal RNA (427 nucleotides) under uncultured cyanobacterium. Its description in RNAcentral is "bacterial SSU rRNA". It matches the Rfam family "Bacterial small subunit ribosomal RNA", at positions 355 to 796 of the family's 1533-position model. Lineage: Bacteria; Bacillati; Cyanobacteriota. The record is from RNAcentral.
UGGGGAAUCUUCCGCAAAUGGGCGAAAGCCUGACGGAGCAAUACCGCGUGAGGGAUGAAGGAUUUUGGUCUGUAAACCUCUUUUCUCAAGAAAGAAGUUCUGACGGUACUUGAGGAAUAAGCAUCGGCUAACUCCGUGCCAGCAGCCGCGGUAAUACGGGGGAUGCAAGCGUUAUCCGGAAUCAUUGGGCGUAAAGCGCCUGUAGGUUGUUUAAUAAGUCUGUUGUUAAAGACUGGGGCUUAACCCCAGGAAAGCAAUGGAAACUACUAGACUUGAGUAUGAUAGGGGUAGAGGGAAUUUCUAGUGUAGCGGUGAAAUGCGUAGAUAUUAGGAAGAACACCGGCGGCGAAAGCGCUCUACUGGACCAUUACUAACACUCAGAGGCGAAAGCUAGGGGAGCAAAAGGGAUUAGAUACCCCUGUAGUCA